CCGGGGGGGCAACCUUGACCUGCUAAAUCAACAUUCCGGAAUUAAAUAGUCGGCC
This 55-nucleotide transfer RNA is filed under the name Blaesodactylus sakalava. RNAcentral's name for it is "tRNA-Ser". The record is from RNAcentral. Lineage: Eukaryota; Metazoa; Chordata; Lepidosauria; Squamata; Gekkonidae.